GAUGAACGCUGGCGGCGUGCCUAAUACAUGCAAGUCGAGCGAACAGACGAGGAGCUUGCUCCUUUGACGUUAGCGGCGGACGGGUGAGUAACACGUGGGUAACCUACCUAUAAGACUGGGAUAACUUCGGGAAACCGGAGCUAAUACCGGAUAAUAUUUCGAACCGCAUGGUUCGAUAGUGAAAGAUGGCUUUGCUAUCACUUAUAGAUGGACCUGCGCCGUAUUAGCUAGUUGGUAAGGUAACGGCUUACCAAGGCAACGAUACGUAGCCGACCUGAGAGGGUGAUCGGCCACACUGGAACUGAGACACGGUCCAGACUCCUACGGGAGGCAGCAGUAGGGAAUCUUCCGCAAUGGGCGAAAGCCUGACGGAGCAACGCCGCGUGAGUGAUGAAGGUCUUCGGAUCGUAAAACUCUGUUAUUAGGGAAGAACAAACGUGUAAGUAACUGUGCACGUCUUGACGGUACCUAAUCAGAAAGCCACGGCUAACGACG
RNAcentral lists this ribosomal RNA (495 nucleotides) under uncultured bacterium. RNAcentral's name for it is "partial 16S ribosomal RNA". It matches the Rfam family "Bacterial small subunit ribosomal RNA", at positions 28 to 505 of the family's 1533-position model. The record is from RNAcentral.